GACGAACGCUGGCGGCGUGCUUAACACAUGCAAGUCUAACGGAAAGGCCCCUUUGGGGGUACUCGAGUGGCGAACGGGUGAGUAACACGUGAGUAACCUGCCCUUGACUUCGGGAUAACUUCAGGAAACUGGGGCUAAUACCGGAUAGGAAUCCUUGCUGCAUGGUGGGGGUUGGAAAGCUUCGGCGGUUUUGGAUGGACUCGCGGCUUAUCAGCUUGUUGGUGGGGUAGUGGCUUACCAAGGCUUUGACGGGUAGCCGGCCUGAGAGGGCGACCGGCCACAUUGGGACUGAGAUACGGCCCAGACUCCUACGGGAGGCAGCAGUGGGGAAUAUUGCACAAUGGGCGGAAGCCUGAUGCAGCAACGCCGCGUGCGGGAUGACGGCCUUCGGGUUGUAAACCGCUUUCAGCAGGGGCGAAGCUUGUGGUGACGGUACCUGCAGAAGAAGCACCGGCUAACUACGUG
Molecule: ribosomal RNA, 465 nt
Filed under: uncultured bacterium
Lineage: Bacteria
Description: partial 16S ribosomal RNA
Rfam family: Bacterial small subunit ribosomal RNA
Source: RNAcentral